Molecule: ribosomal RNA, 492 nt
Filed under: uncultured bacterium
Lineage: Bacteria
Description: partial 16S ribosomal RNA
Rfam family: Bacterial small subunit ribosomal RNA
Source: RNAcentral
AGUGAACGCUGGCGGCAUGCCUAAUACAUGCAAGUCGAACGACCGCACAGUAAGCUUUUGCUCUUACGGUUAGCGGCUGGCGGGCGGGUGAGACGUGCAUCGGCAACUAAUUUUUCGGGGGGGAUAACGGGGGGAAACUGACACUACUAGCUCAUAUGUCGUACGGCUGGAAGCAAGAGUUCUUCACGACCUUCCUGUCUCAUUGAGAUGAUGCCGCAUUAGCUAGUUGGCAAGGUAAGGGCCUACCAAGGCAACGAUGCGUAGCCGACCUGAGAGGAUGAUCGGCCACACUGGAACUGAGACACGGUCCAGACUCCUACGGGAGGCAGCAGUAGGGAAUAUUCCGCAAUGGGCGAAAGCCUGACGGAGCAACGCCGCGUGAGUGAAGAAGGUCUUCGGAUUGUAAAGCUCUGUUAUUAGGGAAGAAAAAAUGUGUAAGUAACUCUGCACGUCUUGACGGUACCCAAUCAGAAAGCCACGGCUAACUACGUG